UACGAAGGGGGCUAGCGUUGUUCGGAUUCAUUGGGCGUAAAGGGUGCGUAGGUGGCGCGGUAAGUCGGGUGUGAAAUUUCGGAGCUUAACUCCGAAACUGCAUUCGAUACUGCCGUGCUUGAGGACUGGAGAGGAGACUGGAAUUUACGGUGUAGCAGUGAAAUGCGUAGAGAUCGUAAGGAAGACCAGUGGCGAAGGCGGGUCUCUGGACAGUUCCUGACACUGAGGCACGAAGGCCAGGGGAGCAAACGGG
RNAcentral lists this ribosomal RNA (253 nucleotides) under uncultured bacterium. RNAcentral describes it as "partial 16S ribosomal RNA". It matches the Rfam family "Bacterial small subunit ribosomal RNA", at positions 524 to 776 of the family's 1533-position model. The record is from RNAcentral.